CCUACGGGGGGCAGCAGUAGGGAAUCUUUCACAAUGGGCGAAAGCCUGAUGGAGCAACGCCGCGUGCAGGAUGAAGGCCUUCGGGUUGUAAACUGCUUUUAUAAGCGAGAAAUAUGAUGGUAACUUAUGAAUAAGGAUCGGCUAACUAAGUGCCAGCAGCCGCGGUCAUACGUAGGAUCCGAGCAUUAUCCGGAGUGACUGGGUGUAAAGAGUUGCGUAGGUGGCAUAAUAAGUAGCUAGUGGAAUCUGGUGGCUCAACCAUUCAGACUAUUAGCUAAACUGUGAAGCUCGAGACCGUUAGGGGUAAGUGGAAUGUCUAGUGUAGGAGUGAAAUGCGUAGAUAUUAGAAGGAACACCAAUAGCGUAGGCAGGUUACUGGGACGGUUCUGACACUAAGGCACGAAAGCGUAGGGAGCAAACGGGAUUAGAUACCCUUGUAGUC
RNAcentral lists this ribosomal RNA (442 nucleotides) under uncultured bacterium. RNAcentral's name for it is "partial 16S ribosomal RNA". It matches the Rfam family "Bacterial small subunit ribosomal RNA", at positions 338 to 795 of the family's 1533-position model. The record is from RNAcentral.